GGAUCACAUAUAGUGUUCAGGCUUAGCCUCAAUUAGAUUUAUUUGUUUUAAUAAAUUUGUUGACUCACGCAGUCACGCUGCUAAUGCACAUUAGUCUCCUCGUUACUCCAAAAAAGAAACUUCUAUAUCCUUGAUCACGGGCAAAAUGAACUCUGUAAGAACACCGACCGAAGGAAGAAGAGUCCCAAGCGCAGGAGAAGAGGAGCGAUGAAGCCCACACCGAUGUCGUAUCUAUACGAGCAUAUGAACGCGAUGGAGGAGGGAGCAUGCCUGGCGGUGGGGAUGGAGGUGGACGACGCCGACCCCGUCGAUGUCCUCGGCGAGAUCGAGCGUCCCCCGAUCGACGCCGACUUCUUCAACUCCUUUGAGGACGACUUCGACGACUCCGACGUCUGACCGCAGUGCCGACGAAAGCUUGAUGGGGAAAGCUCUUUACAAGGAGGCUUUGUGAAUAUAUGUUGCUGUAAACUUCUGUAUGUCUGGGUUUCUUGUCACUAUUUUCUGCCAAAUGUUAGAAUCAUUGAAACCCUGGAACCACCUUUUGCAUAGUUGUUGGACUUCAAAGGGUUUGAACCUGUGAAAGCUUAAUAAUUUGGUUUCAGCUCUGGCUUUGAGUUUAUACCUUGCUUUUGCUGGUACAUGUGCUGACGAAUUUGAAGUGAAUAUAAACCAUCUAAUUUGGUUUACAUCUUCAAGCAUAGGCAGCAGCAAACAUGCUAUUG
This is a long non-coding RNA of Elaeis guineensis (African oil palm), 722 nucleotides long. RefSeq lists it as uncharacterized. Lineage: Eukaryota; Viridiplantae; Streptophyta; Magnoliopsida; Arecales; Arecaceae. The record is from RefSeq and is a predicted model, not a curated record.